Molecule: ribosomal RNA, 247 nt
Filed under: uncultured bacterium
Lineage: Bacteria
Description: partial 16S ribosomal RNA
Rfam family: Bacterial small subunit ribosomal RNA
Source: RNAcentral
AUACGGGGGGUGCAAGCGUUACUCGGAAUCAUUGGGCGUAAAGGGCGCGUAGGCGGCCCGGUAAGUCAGGUGUGAAAGCCCGGGGCUCAACCCCGGAAGUGCAUUUGAUACUGCCAGGCUUGAGUAUGGGAGAGGGAAAUGGAAUUCCUGGUGUAGAGGUGAAAUUCGUAGAUAUCAGGAGGAACACCGGUGGCGAAGGCGACUUCCUGGACCAAUACUGACGCUGAGGCGCGAAGGCGUGGGGAGC